This 200-nucleotide ribosomal RNA is filed under the name uncultured bacterium. RNAcentral's name for it is "partial 16S ribosomal RNA". It matches the Rfam family "Bacterial small subunit ribosomal RNA", at positions 328 to 539 of the family's 1533-position model. The record is from RNAcentral.
ACGCUCGACACCUACGGGAGACAGCAGUGGGGAAUAUUGCACAAUGGGGGAAACCCUGAUGCAGCGACGCCGCGUGAGCGAAGAAGUAUCUCGGUAUGUAAAGCUCUAUCAGCAGGGAAGAAGAUGACGGUACCUGACUAAGAAGCACCGGCUAAAUACGUGCCAGCAGCCGACGGUAAUCUGAGGCGGGCUGGCAAGGC